RNAcentral lists this transfer RNA (91 nucleotides) under Ganoderma leucocontextum. RNAcentral describes it as "tRNA-Tyr". It matches the Rfam family "tRNA". From Rfam's summary of the family: Transfer RNA (tRNA) molecules are approximately 80 nucleotides in length. Their secondary structure includes four short double-helical elements and three loops (D, anti-codon, and T loops). Further hydrogen bonds mediate the characteristic L-shaped molecular structure. tRNAs have two regions of fundamental functional importance: the anti-codon, which is responsible for specific mRNA codon recognition, and the 3' end, to which the tRNAs corresponding amino acid is attached (by aminoacyl-tRNA synthetases). tRNAs cope with the degeneracy of the genetic code in two manners: having more than one tRNA (with a specific anti-codon) for a particular amino acid; and 'wobble' base-pairing, i.e. permitting non-standard base-pairing at the 3rd anti-codon position. The record is from RNAcentral. Lineage: Eukaryota; Fungi; Basidiomycota; Agaricomycetes; Polyporales; Polyporaceae.
CCUUCGAUAGCUCAGUUGGAAGAGCGUGAGACUGUAAUUGGAUGUCAUGUGGUGCAUCUCAAGGUCACUGGUUCGAUCCCGGUUCGAAGGA